RNAcentral lists this transfer RNA (85 nucleotides) under Felis catus (domestic cat). It matches the Rfam family "tRNA". From Rfam's summary of the family: Transfer RNA (tRNA) molecules are approximately 80 nucleotides in length. Lineage: Eukaryota; Metazoa; Chordata; Mammalia; Carnivora; Felidae. The record is from Rfam by way of RNAcentral.
GCUUGGGUAGCUCAGUCUGUUGAGCGUCUGACUUCGGCUCAGGUCAUGAUCUCCCAGUCUGUGGGCUCGAGCCCCGCAUCGGGCU